RNAcentral lists this transfer RNA (56 nucleotides) under Ovis aries (sheep). It matches the Rfam family "tRNA", at positions 8 to 63 of the family's 71-position model. From Rfam's summary of the family: Transfer RNA (tRNA) molecules are approximately 80 nucleotides in length. Their secondary structure includes four short double-helical elements and three loops (D, anti-codon, and T loops). The record is from Rfam by way of RNAcentral. Lineage: Eukaryota; Metazoa; Chordata; Mammalia; Artiodactyla; Bovidae.
UGGCUCAGUGGUAAAGAGUCUGCCUGCAAUGCAGGAGACCCAGGUUCGACCCCUGG